This is a long non-coding RNA of Equus caballus (horse), 1768 nucleotides long. The record is from Ensembl. NCBI's taxonomy places the organism in Eukaryota, Metazoa, Chordata, Mammalia, Perissodactyla, Equidae.
CAGCAUUAGCUGCCUUCUCUCCUUGCUCAGCACUGUGCAAUAAUAAAAUUCCUGCUUUCUUCCACUACACCCAGUGUCAGAGAUUGCAAUGGGUGAGCAAACCCACUUCAGGUUCGAUAUCAAUUUGGCGACCCAGAUGGGACAAUGUCCCAAGUAGAUGUCUCGUCUGUGGCACACCGGCCUCUGGCUAAAGGCCUCUCUUGGAAGCAGUCCUACAGCUGCCUGAGCUCCUUGUCUCAGGGACAGCCUGAAGUGACUGGCUGCUAGCCAGAAGUUAUUGGCCUGCAGUACUUUUGCUUUCGUGGUGGAAGAAACUAGGUUCAGGACUUAGGAAGAUGUCUCUUGACACAAUUGGAAACACUGGUUAUAAUACCAAGGCCUUGAUUGGAACAUCAUGUUUGAGAAAAACAUGCAGGUUCAGGUGCAAGAAACCUCAAUAUUUCGGGGAGCCUCACGAAGAGAGGAAAUCACCCAAAUGUGUAGGUACUACAGGCGGACUCUGAUGACAAGUCCUUGGCUUGGCUUUCCUGGCCUUGGGAGGCCUUUAAAGUUCAAUCUGAAACUCCUUAUAAGAGGUUCCAGCAGAGCAGAUUUGAAAGAGCCUAUAUAAUCAAUUACUAUUCUUGCUGUACUUAUGUAAAUAAUUAUGCCAAAUUUAUUAAAACUAGACGUAUUUUGCAAACCAGUUAGUCUUAAUUUGGCUAUGUCUAGUGAAAUCGAGGGUGACUUUAGAGAGAGAAAAAUUAUGUUUCAAUAAAAACUACAAUAUGCGUUUGUGGAUAUUGGAUUUUGGUUCUGUCAAUUGUCUUUAAGAUUUUUGUUACAUCUGUUAAUGGGACUGGAUCCUGAAUUCUUCUAGUCUCCUGAAAUAUCUGGCUAGAAACCUCCAAACUAACAUUUUCAGUUUUCUCCCCAUCAUUUUCAUUCAGAAUCUUUGAAAACUAAACCAGCCUUUUUUUUUCCUGAAGCCUUGCUAAGUGGAAGCUGGAGGACUUAAUAUAAAUGUAAGAGACAGUCACGUCUGCUGCUGGGUAAGCCACUCAGAAAGCUACCUGCGUCCCUGAUGACACCAUCAGAGACAUUGCAAACUGCAAAAGAUGCUUCCACUUUGAUUUCUAGGAAUCUUGAUUGGCUGCCCCCUGGGUUCAGGAACUGGUUUAUAAUUUGCUCCAACCAUUGACCUGUUUUUCUCUUUUUGUUUCUCUAGAAAAACUUCUUGUUAAAUACCUAGUUACUUACUUACAUGAUACAGGCCUAAAUUUGGGAGCCUACCUGCAUCACUGCCUUAUUAAAAGACUGGUUCAGUGAGCUGGAACAACCUAGGCCCCAAUUCAGCAGGAAGUAGCUAGACUGGUUGCUGCCCCAAAUCCCUCAAGAAUGAGAGAUGAACAUAAAAUAGGGGGGAAUUGAUACCGGCCAUAAUAUCAGUUUCCUUACAUUAAACCCAGCAAAUAUGGGGUUAAAACCAACGCACUCACUCCCUGCUUACUCCCUGGCUCCCUGGCUCCAGAAUCCACUAUCCGCCAUGGACACAAAUGGCCAAGGACAACCACCUGGAUUCAUUAUCUCCUCCCCCUCCUCUCUGCAAGUAGUCUCAAGGCCAAACACAGGCUGGUGGAACAGCUCCAACCAGCGAGGCCAUAUGCUCCCCCUCCCCUACCUAAAACCCCAAAUAAAACUCCUUAAUUUUAGCCUUUUGGAGAGUUUGGGAUUUCAGCGUUAGCUGCCCUCUCUCCUUGCUGAGCACUGUGCAAUAAUAAAAUUCCUG